CCUCGGGGUUUCUGUCAACUGCUGCUAGAAAGGAAAAAACCCUUUGGAGAGUAAUCUUUUACUGUGGUCAUGCCAGAACCCACUAAGAAAGAGGAAAAUGAAGUGCCCGCCCCAGCCCCUCCCCCAGAAGAACCAAAUAAAGACAAAGAGGCGGGAACCACUCCAGCAAAAGAAUGGUCUCUUGGUGAGUCACCUGCUGGCGGGGAGGAGCAGGACAAACAGAAUGCCAACUCACAGCUGUCCACCCUGUUUGUUGAAAAACCGCAAACCGGAUCGGUGAAAGUCGGUGCAAACAUCACCUUUAUAGCCAAAGUUAAGGCUGAAGAUCUUCUUAGGAAACCCACUGUCAAAUGGUUCAAGGGGAAAUGGAUGGACC
Molecule: long non-coding RNA, 376 nt
Filed under: Rattus norvegicus (Norway rat)
Lineage: Eukaryota; Metazoa; Chordata; Mammalia; Rodentia; Muridae
Description: long non-coding RNA NONRATT026650
Source: RNAcentral